This 236-nucleotide ribosomal RNA is filed under the name Globigerinita uvula. Its description in RNAcentral is "partial 18S ribosomal RNA". Lineage: Eukaryota; Foraminifera; Rotaliida; Globigerinitidae. The record is from RNAcentral.
GUGACUCUUCGGAGUUUGCAUUGUUAAAUAUGCUAGUCCUUUCAUGAUUAUGUGAUAGGUGGUGCAUGGCCGUUCUUAGUUCGUGGAGUGAUCUGUCUGCUUAAUUGCGUUUCAAAUUACUUAUAAGGUAGCAAUACGCGAUGAAGCUUUCAAUAGUCCUCACGGAUUCACUUGAGUCUCUCGCUUCGCUAUCCUUUCGAAUGCAACGAACGUGACCGCAACCUCUUGUUGCCUUC